Molecule: ribosomal RNA, 196 nt
Filed under: uncultured bacterium
Lineage: Bacteria
Description: partial 16S ribosomal RNA
Rfam family: Bacterial small subunit ribosomal RNA
Source: RNAcentral
ACGCUCGACACCUACGGGAGGCAGCAGUGGGGAAUAUUGCACAAUGGGGGAAACCCUGAUGCAGCGACGCCGCGUGAGUGAAGAAGUAUUUCGGUAUGUAAAGCUCUAUCAGCAGGGAAGAAAAUGACGGCACCUGACUAAGAAGCCCCGGCUAACUACGUGCCACAGCCGCGGUAAUCUGAGCGGCUGGCAAGGC